Molecule: long non-coding RNA, 3184 nt
Filed under: Bos indicus x Bos taurus (hybrid cattle)
Lineage: Eukaryota; Metazoa; Chordata; Mammalia; Artiodactyla; Bovidae
Description: lncRNA (ENSBIXG00005018749.1)
Source: RNAcentral
ACCUGCCCCAAACCCAAGGUCACUCACGCCACACAUCUUGCCCCAAGUCCCAGAGGAAAAACCACUGCAAACAAGCAUUGGGGUUUUUUUCUUUUGCAGAAUUAUUUUUUUUAGUAGACAUAGUCUUUUUUUUUUUCCUUUCUCAUUUUACAGCAAACAUUGCAAAUAUAGAAAUAUUUCUCUAUACAAUAGGACGACAGUGUAUAGUGGGGGCAGGGCUGGAAGGCACACUCCCGGCCCCCGCCACCCCUGGCCGUCUGCAGGCACAGCCCUCCCUGCCCCCAAGGUCCCGGGAGCUCCGGGACCCUCCCGGAGACCACCUGGCCGCCUGCGUUCGCUCUGGCCCUCUCUGGUGGCGGCGACGAAGAGACGGACUAAACAGAAUCCACAGAAAGCCACGGACAGAGGAGUCGUGCGGGGACCAGGUGGCCACACCCCCCACAUAGAGCGUUUUACGUCUUUUAAAGAGAACUUUAAAAAAAAAAAAAGAGAAGGCAGAGAAGAAUCAAAAGAUAAUGAAAAAAAUCCCCUCCCCCGCCCCCCAUCCCUAAGACACAGUUUUCGGAAGUCCCUUGUGUGUGUGUGUGUGUGUGUGUGUGUGUGUGUGCACGCGUGUGUGUGGACGGGCCCCUCACACCAGCGAGAACGUCUCGGCAGGUGCACACGCUUAGCCACGCGCCCCUCCCGUUCGGCCUGCCGGUGCCCCCUCCCCACUUUGCCCGAAAAGCCCAGGGCUUCAGCAGUUGUAGGGGGGGGUGUGUGUGUAUGUGUGUGUGUGCACGCGCACGCGUGUGCACCGUGAGUCUCUGUGCGUGUGUGCGCGUGCGCCGUGAGUCUCUGGGUUAGCUGCAGUGUCCUCUGGCCGCGCGCGGCCCGCUCAGGACUUGUGCUGCGCAGACACGCCCUUCCAGUAGUCCAGGAUGUCGUGCAGGUCCUCGUCCUUGGCGAACUGCACCUUCCGGCGCAGCGCGUGGCCGGCCGCCACGCACUCCCCGGCGUCCCGGUGCCGCGGGCGGCUCAGUCUGAAGCGGGCCCAGAGGCUGCGGGAGGCGCGGCAGGCGUACUCGGGGCUGGAGGCGUAGCUCAGGUGGCGGUACUGCGGCGAGAGCGGCGCGUAGGCCAGGUCGCGGGGGCGCGGCCGCGUCAGCGGCUCCAGGAUGGAGGCCUUGCGGCCGCCCAGGCUCUCGGGGGGCGCGGGCGGCGCGGGGGGCUCCACAGGGUGGGGCCCGGGGUACGAGUGCCGGUGCUCCCCGUACUGCCGGCCCUUCUCGGGCUCGGCCCGCAGCACGGCUGCCGCGGGCGUCACCGUGAGGAUGGCCUCCGCCGCGGGCGAGCCCUUCUCGAUGUACUUGGCCUCGUGCAGCGCAGGGGGCUCGGCGCGGUAGGGCCGCGGGCUGCGGGCGGAGCCGCUGGACGAGGAGCUGGCCCGCGGGGCCCCGGGGGCGGCCUCCAGGCUGUGGUGCCGCUGCAGGCCGCAGGCGUCCUGGUAGGCGGGCGCCAGGAAGCCGCGCUUGCCGGCCAGCGGCUCGGCCGUGGACACGGCGCCCGGCUUGCCGCCCUGGAAGGAGGUGGCCUCGGCCUUGAGGGCGUCGAUGCAGUUGUUGAUGAUCUGGUUGACCUUGUCCACCUCCUUGGCGAUGGUGGAGAUCUCAGCCACCGAGCCCUGGCUGUCGGGGCCCGGCCGGCCCUGCUCCCCCUCCCUGCGUUCUGCCUGCUCCGCCGCACGCACCUCCAUGUAGCCGCCCUUGCUGCCCUGGGGCGUCCCGCUGCCCUCCGCCAGCUGGUACUGCUCCACCUCCCCGGGGGCGGCGGGCAGGUAUGGGAUGCGGGUCACCGCCUCGGGGCCCAGCAGCGGGCCCUGGGACAGCGGGGCCAGGCCUGGCGCCUCCAGCUCGGGCCCGUACUUGAGCUCGAUGAUGGUCUUCUUGAGGCUGCCGGCCGCUGCCGCCGCCUGCUUCUGCUUGCCCUCCCGCCGCCGCCGCCGCCGCAGGCAGUAGUAGACGGCGCCCAGCACCACCACCAUGCCGAAGAGGCAGCCCAGGACGGUCAUGAUGUAGUGGGUGGCCGUGGAGGGGCUGGGCACGGGGCCCGGCGGGCUGGGCGGCUGCGGCAGGCAGAUGGUGAGGCAGGUGUGGUUGUGGUGCAGGCCCGAGCUGCUGGACACCACACAAUAGGUGUAGUUGGUGAGCGCGUACAGGUUGGUCAGGCGGAUCUCCUCCUGGGCCCGGGUCAGCCUGGACACGGUGGACGACUUGCUGUUGUUGAAGUGCUCCAGCGUGUACAUGCGGGUGAAGGGGCUGGGCAGCUGCACCGUGAUGGUGGCCGAGUUCUGCGUCAGCUGCUUGACCUUGAUGAGCGGGCGGGCCUCGGCCUGCGGGGCCAGCGUGGGCAGCGCCACCAGCGGCGUGGUGCCGUCGCCGGAGAAGCACUCGUCCUCAGCGCAGGGGGCCUCGCUGGGCUCCGCGGGCGGCACGGGGGGCGGCGGCGGCGAGCGGCCGGGCGGGGGGCGGCCGGGCGCCGGGCGGGUCUCCGCCGCAUACGGGCCGUCAGUGCACACAGACUGCAGCUUGCCCAGGAUGCUGCGCUGGCCGUGGCGGCCCUGGCCCAGCAGGAAGUAGCCGGAGUAGAGCGGCGGGGACUCGCACUGCACGCGGUCGUGGGCCUGCGUGGCGUUGGCGAAGGCCGCCAGCCAGCGCAGGAAGCCCAGCAGCUCGCAGGAGCAGUAGAAGGGGUUGCUGUAGAGUUCACACACCGAGAGCCGCGCCAGGCCCGCGAAGGUGGCGCUGUGCAGACGCUGGAUGCGGUUCAUGGACAGGUCCACGUUGACGAUGUUGGGGCACUCCCAGAAGGCGCCGGGCGCCACUGCCUCAAUAAGGUUGGCCUGCAGGUACAGGUACUCGAGCUUGCCCAGGCCGCGCAGCACGCCCUCCGUCAGGUUGCGCAGCCGGUUGUAGCCGAGCUGCAGUACCUGCAGGUUGAACUGGCCCGAGAAGGCGCCGUCCUCGAUGUAGCCGAUCUCGUUCUUGGUGAGGUUCAGACAAAGGUCCUCUGCCUGCUGGGAUGUGAACUCCAGAGGGAAGCGUCCAGUCCACGCCAUGACGCCCCAGGCCCCGAGCAGUGCCCAACGCAUGGGAGCCGCCAGGCUGGACAGCGGUGGGCACACCUGCUCCAUUUCCUCAUCUGA